AGGCACCUCCAGCGCAGUGAAGUGAAUACCCAAGCUUUUUGGAUUUCUUCUGGGACACCUGGAAGGCUGGCACAUAAGACAACAAGAACAUGCAGUAAAGAGUGCCAAAAGAGGAGGGGGCACACCCUACAAAUACCGGGAGAAGCACAACCAGUAUCCAUGAAAGGUUUAAAUAGCUCAGCCACAAAUUUCGAAUAUGUGCAUCCUCUUUGUUCUCUUUAUUCUCUUCCCACAAAGAUAUUCCUUCGAUUUUGUGAAACAGUCCUAGUUUUCUUUAUGCCAUUCUACUGUUGUUCCUAUGAGAGGUAGUUUGGGCACACUUCAACAAAUUUGUAAAAUUUUAAUGUUUCAAAACCUUGUUCAUAUCAUUAAUCUGAUGUUCAAACUUA
Vitis vinifera (wine grape) is the source of this 389-nucleotide long non-coding RNA. RefSeq lists it as uncharacterized. NCBI's taxonomy places the organism in Eukaryota, Viridiplantae, Streptophyta, Magnoliopsida, Vitales, Vitaceae. The record is from RefSeq and is a predicted model, not a curated record. The transcript is spliced from 2 exons.